UGAGUAACCUGCCCUUAACUCUGGGAUAAGCCUGGGAAACUGGGUCUAAUACCGGAUAUGACUCCUCAUCGCAUGGGUGGGGGUGGAAAGCUUUAUUGUGGUUUUGGAUGGACUCGCGGCCUAUCAGCUUGUUGGUGAGGUAAUGGCUCACCAAGGCGACGACUGGUAGCCGGCCUGAGAGGGUGACCGGCCACACUGGGACUGAGACACGGCCCAGACUCCGUACGGGAGCAG
RNAcentral lists this ribosomal RNA (234 nucleotides) under uncultured bacterium. RNAcentral's name for it is "partial 16S ribosomal RNA". It matches the Rfam family "Bacterial small subunit ribosomal RNA", at positions 118 to 347 of the family's 1533-position model. The record is from RNAcentral.